GUACAGCAUGAUGAUCACUGUCAACAUCUGCAAGAAAUGACACGGGAAUAUGAUGAGUCACCUAAUUUCAAAAUCCCACUUUGGUACCAGAACAGAAACUUCACCGUGCUGGAAGAGUACUCCUAUAGACCAGGCUUCGCCCCUGGCCAAUUCACGUCAUUCAGAAAAUGGUCCUUUUGAAUAUAUUCCUCCUUCACUGUGGGAGAUUAUGCUGAUAAUAAAUGUUCCCUCUCCAAUUCUUGAAUGUGAGUAAGACUUUUCAAGAAAAGGACUUUAAAACCAGGCCAAUGUGUUGUUCAGCUUGGUCGGUAUGGCCUUGCUCCUACCACGUAUGGAAUCUUGCUCAGAAGAAUGGCGCUUGAAAGACAGGAUUUGAAGAAAGACUGCAGUCAUAAUUUUUUCUCACUUCCUCAGCAAUAAGAUGACAUUGUUAAAAAACUCAUUCAAAACAUGUGCUUUUCAAAGUCUGUUGUAGUGGGUGGAAUCACCCAGCUGUAUUGAUGUGGCAGGAUAUUAGAAAAGAAAAUUAAAAUAUUUUUCUAAAGGAUUGGAUUGCAGUAGGAAUUUAACAUUAAUUUUUAAGAGGUGACAUAAUUAUUAUUCUUUCUGUAUUGCAGUGCUACUUGAACUCCUAACAGAUGGCCAAUAAUUUGGCCUCCAAUUUAUUUUGAGAUCAUUGAGGAUUUGUGGCAGAUCUCACAGUAGUUUUUUUGUUGUGUUUUGUUUCAGGUUCACCUCUUAUUUGCAUAGUCAAUACCAGGAUAUCAAUAACUGCUCUGAUCCACAGAACAAGAAGAAGCUAGUAAAGAAGUUCUGAUGAAGUAGCUUUAUUUACCUAGCAUUCAAGAGAGCUAAAUGCUUCAGAAGAGAGAAAGAUUCACAUAAUAUAUUUGACUAGAUUUCUGUGAAUCAGCACAGAGAACUGAUUGUUUCUCAGGAUGGUCUAAAAUAACCAAUCUAUCUGACUUGUCUCUAGUAUUAUCUAGACAGAUUCUUUCCUGAGGCAGUAAUGUCCAAGUGUGGUUUAUAGACCAGUCUGGCUAUCCAGACAGAUAUUUAUUCUCCUGGAUAAUAUAGAAGAAGACCUAUCUUCUCUAUUCAACUAAACCUCUGCACUGUUAGACUCUGUCCAAAACUCUUUAUGGCUUCAUCAGAUGGAGAUGUGAAAACACUCAGCUUUGAUCAAGCAGUUCCUCCCACUAAGGCCAUUGACAUCAAACUAAACCUCUGAAGGAGGAGCUUCUGAAAAAAGCAUGUAUCUUGUUGUGCUCUGGGCUAUAACAGCAGAUACUGUAGGUAGUUAUCAAUUUAUAUCGGUUUAGUAUUUGCAUUCUAAUAGCAUCCAAAAUAUGUCCAGCUGUGCAAUACCUCCAUGAAGUAAAGGUUGAAAGACUUAUUUCCCAUUUCAGGCAUUGGCUUAGUACCAUCAGAAUUUCCCACUAAGCCCUUGUUUCAAAGAGUUAUCUUCUGCUGUAACAGUAGAAAAUUUACUCACUAUGUAUAAAAAGCCUGUAGUAUGUUGACAAACUGUAUUAUGAAUUGCAAUUUUUUUCAAAUUAUUUUUUUAUUCUGACAGUGUGGUUAGGCUCUAUUGUUUAUGCAUUUUAAUGAAUAAAGAACUGGCAAUAAAAUUCUAUCA
Long non-coding RNA from Phasianus colchicus (ring-necked pheasant), 1639 nucleotides. NCBI's taxonomy places the organism in Eukaryota, Metazoa, Chordata, Aves, Galliformes, Phasianidae. The record is from Ensembl.